RNAcentral lists this ribosomal RNA (503 nucleotides) under uncultured bacterium. Its description in RNAcentral is "partial 16S ribosomal RNA". It matches the Rfam family "Bacterial small subunit ribosomal RNA", at positions 30 to 523 of the family's 1533-position model. The record is from RNAcentral.
AUUGAACGCUGGCGGCAGGCUUAACACAUGCAAGUCGAGCGGGGUGAUGGUGCUUGCACUAUCACUUAGCGGCGGACGGGUGGGUAAUGCUUAGGAAUCUGCCUAUUAGUGGGGGACAACAUCUCGAAAGGGAUGCUAAUACCGCAUACGUCCUACGGGAGAAAGCAGGGGAUCACUUGUGACCUUGCGCUAAUAGAUGAGCCUAAGUCGGAUUAGCUAGUUGGUGGGGUAAAGGCCUACCAAGGCGACGAUCUGUAGCGGGUCUGAGAGGAUGAUCCGCCACACUGGGACUGAGACACGGCCCAGACUCCUACGGGAGGCAGCAGUGGGGAAUAUUGGACAAUGGGGGGAACCCUGAUCCAGCCAUGCCGCGUGUGUGAAGAAGGCCUUAUGGUUGUAAAGCACUUUAAGCGAGGAGGAGGCUCUUUUGGUUAAUACCCAAGAUGAGUGGACGUUAUUCGCAGAAUAAGCACCGGCUAACUCUGUGCCAGCCGCCGCAGUAA